RNAcentral lists this transfer RNA (68 nucleotides) under Onthophagus baolocensis. Its description in RNAcentral is "tRNA-Leu". It matches the Rfam family "tRNA". From Rfam's summary of the family: Transfer RNA (tRNA) molecules are approximately 80 nucleotides in length. The record is from RNAcentral. Lineage: Eukaryota; Metazoa; Arthropoda; Insecta; Coleoptera; Scarabaeidae.
UCUAAUAUGGCAGAAUAGUGCAAUGAAUUUAAGCUUCAUAUAUAAAGUUAAAUUACCUUUUUUUAGAA